GUGUCUACUGGUGAGAAUUCACUUGGCAGAGAGAGCCACAUCCAGAAUUCAUGGAGCAACUGGGUUGAAAGAGAAUAUCAGAAAACCCCAGGGAAGGGACUCGCAGCUGAAGGAUAGGGGAGGGUAUCCCGACUUUGCCGUAGGAAGCAGGCACUCUUCCUAAAUCACUUUGGACAUGGCAGAACAGUUACAAAGUCUCUGGAAUCAGGUUUGUAAGAAGCUCUGCUAUUUACUAGCUCGGUGAUGGCAGGACAGCUACCGAACUUUAUGCCUCAGUUUCUUCCUCCAUAAAAUGGGUAUAACAACUGUGUUUAUCCCCUGUAUGGAUUGGGAGUUAAAUGCAAAUAUAGUGCUUAGAAGCACAUUGGCCCACAGCAAAGAGCUCAAUAACUAUGAACAAUUUUAACUGAACGUAUCUUUGCCUCCUCUUGGCUUCUUCAUUGCUCACAUUUGGAAAAUGAGGACACUAGAAGAGAGAUUGUUUCUCGAGAAUCCUCUGAUUGUAAAGCUGUCUAAUUCUGAGGUUUUAAUAAGGUUUCCUAACUGGUCCUGAGGUGUGUGGUAUCUCCCCACAGUCUGGGGAUUAUCACCCCGCCCUUCAGAACAGUCUCUGCUUCCUUUGAGGCAUUCCGGGAUGGAGGCACAGUUUGGGUUCCAGAAUGGAAGCUUCUGUUUCAUUUGUACUCACCUUUAAGGCAGCUGCUGAUCAAAGGGACAAUGGAAAGCCACCCUGGGGUCUAUUUGCUGUCAUACCCACAAGGCUUGUGACCUAAAAAGGCACACAAUAGGGACAGCUUCAUAGGCCUGUGACCUAUGCCCUCAAAGGGGACAUGGUACUGGUUAAGUCCCGUACACAUCGAACGCUCUGCUGUAGCUGUCUUGACAUUUUAAUAAUUUUUGAACAAGAAGCUCCACAUUUUUAUUUUGUGCUGGGCUCCACACAUUGCAUAGCUGGUCAUUUCUGCAUGCAGGUGCAGUCCCCAAGGUCACCACUGUCCAAGUGUGCAUGUGUGUGUCUGUGUGUGGUUGGGACAGAGAGGGAUUCUUUUGAAUUUUAAGUUGCUAUACAUAAGGAGAUGCCUCUAUCAGCACUGUUUGCAGAAAAGAAGCCCAGUUAAUUAUGAGCGGCUUCCAAACCUGGCCCUCUGCACCUAGCAGAUACAGUCAACCCCGCAGCAGCGGCAGCUGGGAGGCCAGAAAGCAGCAAAUGAGCUGACUCAUGAGAAUCUCCCCGUGCACAAUGCAGGGUGGUGAUUUUUCUCUGCCUUACUUCCGUGUCUCCUGCAGAUGAUGUAUGAAUUGCCUUAUUUACCUUUUCCCUCCAAACCUUCUCCUUUAUUAUUUUUAUUAAUGUCACGCCAAACCCGAAAAGGAGUUUCCUUUUCAAAAAAAAAAAAAAAAAAA
RNAcentral lists this long non-coding RNA (1404 nucleotides) under Macaca fascicularis (crab-eating macaque). Its description in RNAcentral is "lncRNA (ENSMFAG00000065234.1)". Lineage: Eukaryota; Metazoa; Chordata; Mammalia; Primates; Cercopithecidae. The record is from RNAcentral.